Molecule: ribosomal RNA, 422 nt
Filed under: uncultured Clostridium sp.
Lineage: Bacteria; Bacillati; Bacillota; Clostridia; Eubacteriales; Clostridiaceae
Description: bacterial SSU rRNA
Rfam family: Bacterial small subunit ribosomal RNA
Source: RNAcentral
UGGGGAAUAUUGCACAAUGGGGGAAACCCUGAUGCAGCAACGCCGCGUGAGUGAAGAAGUAUUUCGGUAUGUAAAGCUCUAUCAGCAGGGAAGAAAAUGACGGUACCUGACUAAGAAGCCCCGGCUAACUACGUGCCAGCAGCCGCGGUAAUACGUAGGGGGCAAGCGUUAUCCGGAUUUACUGGGUGUAAAGGGAGCGUAGACGGUUGUGCAAGUCAGAAGUGAAAGCCCGGGGCUCAACCCCGGGACUGCUUUUGAAACUGUAUGACUGGAGUGCUGGAGAGGUAAGUGGAAUUCCUAGUGUAGCGGUGAAAUGCGUAGAUAUUAGGAGGAACACCAGUGGCGAAGGCGGCUUACUGGACAGUAACUGACGUUGAGGCUCGAAAGCGUGGGGAGCAAACAGGAUUAGAUACCCUGGUAGU